CAAUAGCGUAUAUUAAAGUUGUUGCAGUUAAAAAGCUCGUAGUCGGAUUUCGGGUCGGGCCGAGCGGUCUGCCGAUGGGUAUGCACUGUUUGGCGCGGCCUUCUUUCCGGAGACCGCGGCUACUCUUAACUGAGCGGGCGUGGGAGACGGAUCGUUUACUUUGAAAAAUCAGAGUGUUUCUAGCAGGCAGCUCGCUCUUGCAUAGGUUAGCAUGGGAUAAUUUAAUAGGACUCUGGUGCUAUUUUGUUGGUUUCUAAAAUUGAAGUAAUGAUUGAUAGGGAUAGUUGGGGGUGCUAGUAUUGGCCGGCCAGAGGUGAAAUUCUUGGAUUCGGUCAAGACUAACUUAUGCGAAAGCAUUCACCAAGGAUGUCUUCUUUAAUCAAGAACGAAAGUUGGGGGAUCGAAGACGAUCAGAUACCAU
RNAcentral lists this ribosomal RNA (421 nucleotides) under uncultured eukaryote. RNAcentral's name for it is "bacterial SSU rRNA". It matches the Rfam family "Eukaryotic small subunit ribosomal RNA", at positions 592 to 1018 of the family's 1831-position model. The record is from RNAcentral.